GAUGAACGCUGGCGGCGUGCCUAAUACAUGCAAGUCGAGCGAACAGACGAGGAGCUUGCUCCUCUGACGUUAGCGGCGGACGGGUGAGUAACACGUGGAUAACCUACCUAUAAGACUGGGAUAACUUCGGGAAACCGGAGCUAAUACCGGAUAACAUGUUGAACCGCAUGGUUCAACAGUGGAAGACGGUCUUGCUGUCACUUAUAGAUUGAUCCGCGCCGCAUUAGCUAGUUGGUAAGGUAACGGCUUACCAAGGCAACGAUGCGUAGCCGACCUGAGAGGGUGAUCGGCCACACUGGAACUGAGACACGGUCCAGACUCCUACGGGAGGCAGCAGUAGGGAAUCUUCCGCAAUGGGCGAAAGCCUGACGGAGCAACGCCGCGUGAGUGAAGAAGGUCUUCGGAUCGUAAAACUCUGUUAUUAGGGAAGAACAAAUGUGUAAGUAACUAUGCACGUCUUGACGGUACCUAAUCAGAAAGCCACGGCUAACUACGUG
RNAcentral lists this ribosomal RNA (497 nucleotides) under uncultured bacterium. RNAcentral describes it as "partial 16S ribosomal RNA". It matches the Rfam family "Bacterial small subunit ribosomal RNA", at positions 28 to 507 of the family's 1533-position model. The record is from RNAcentral.